Long non-coding RNA from Hypanus sabinus (Atlantic stingray), 2089 nucleotides. RefSeq lists it as uncharacterized. The transcript has 6 exons. The record is from RefSeq and is a predicted model, not a curated record. Lineage: Eukaryota; Metazoa; Chordata; Chondrichthyes; Myliobatiformes; Dasyatidae.
UCAUAUGUGGAACUUCCGAAGGCUGUGAGAGAACGUUCAUGUCCCAAUGAGCCAGGAACAGAGUGGAGUGGUGUGAAUAAUGUAAACAACAUAAUCCAGUCUGCAUCGGCCUGAACCUUAAGGACGAGAACCAGAUGAGAAAAGAAACAAAAAUAUCAGAACUCAGGCUACUCUCAAACAAUGACUGUUAAUCAAAAGAAGAUUUCCCUCAAGAGGAAGGCCACUUAAACGUACAACUGCUGGCCGGUGGUAUAGUGGCAUCAGCACCAGACUUCGCAGUGAGCGUUCCUGGGUUUGAGUCAAGCCGGCUCCCUGCACAUUUUCCAUCCGUGCUGUGGUCAGCAAACCACAUCCCAGAGACGUAGCAUUCAUGAGGGAGUGAAGCGGGAAUUUACAUCUCACCCUAGAGUUUUGCUCUCCAUUUGUUCGCGUGCCAGAUGCUGCUUGACUCAUUGAUCUACCAGCUGUUUCCUUUUUGUUUGUAGAUCAAGUCAGAUUCAGAAAGAUUCCUCCUAUGUUCGAAGGCAACCUGGAGAAAAUUUCACAGGUUGGAAAGAAGACAAAAGCAGGUGAGAACUUCUGACCGUAGCAGUGAGAGACUGAAAAUAUCCUUGAAUACACCUGCCGGUCGCCUCCAACCUCAGAAUUGUCUCUUCCACCUUGAAAUAGCCUCCGCAAGUCACACCUGGUUUUCUUGUACAGACCUGGGUCACCAGACUUAAAUACCACACACCUAGCCCUCAGCAAAUGACGAACCUCCUGGUUCAUCCCUGGCUUGUGGUUUGGGAAUGUACAAGUUCUUGUAGUUCUUCAACACUCAUCUACAGGGGCACCAUUGAGAUCAUCCUGACUGACUGUGUCACUGGCUGGUAUGGGAUCUGCAGAGAGUGGUGCUGACAGCCCAGCACAUCUGUGGAUGCGAACUUUCCUCUAUUCAGGACACUUACAGCAGCAGGUGCAUAAAAAGGGCCCAGAGGAUCGCCACCUCUAUUCCCUCUAAGCUGUGCACGUGUGCACACAUUUUUCAACCAGUGCACAAUGUGUGCACAAAAGGUUACCUAAAAUAAUGUAGUAAUUAAUAAUUAUACUUAUUGAAAAUAAUCUUUUAGCUAAGUGUUAAAAUAACUGAGUGACUUAAAUAUGUAUGUUAUUUUGUUGUUAUUCUGUGCAGUUUUAUGUCAAAUAUUCUGUAAACCUACAUAAAUUGUGCCAUGUUUACAUUCAGUGGGCACAUACUUUUGUCACAGGAAAAAAUCUUGCACAACAUAAGAUUUUUGCGCACACUGACUACUAAAAAUUAGAGGGAACAUUGAUCGCCAGGGGCUCCAACCACCCCAACCACAAACUGUUUCAGCUGCUACCAUCUGACAAACAGUACCACAGCAUGAAGGCCAGGACCAACAGGCUCCGGGACAUCAACUUUAUCAAUACACAUUAAUCUGAUUGCAUAUCUGACUGUACAUGCACGGAUACAAAACAAUUAUGUAUACAAUCUCAGUGUUUCGGCAAUAUCUCCUGCAUUUCCCUUCCUCAUUGCUUGUGCAUAGUGACAGAGAAACAACAUAAAGAUUUUUACUCCCUCUUGUUGUGAGAUGGAUGUAAGAAAUAAAAUUCUAAUUCUAAUUCCAAUUCUAAAUGCUAUGAGGGUUAAGUUCCCACUUUCAGUUGCUCCUAAUGUGUAGGUCAGAGAAGCUGACAGAAGUCGAUGAGGAUAUGAGACUAAUACAGGAUUUGCACAAAUGUGUGGUGGAGGGACCAAUAUGGACCUUGUAAGUUGACCAGCCUACUUCUGUGUUGUAUCACUCUGUGACUCUAAAUUCCAUUCAAAUGAGUUUAAGUUCAGUUAAAUGAUCCUCCUUGGGAUGCUUCAAAGACCUGGGACCAGUGUCUGCACACAUUUUCCUCUUAUACUAAAGUAAUUAGUUAACUGAGAAUAGAUUCCAAUAACCAUCAAUUGUAAGUGCACCAGCUUAAAAUCUUUAGCUUUAAGGAAAAGGCAGUUUAUUUUUUCUCUGUUACUUUAAUAUGACUCCAAUCAACACAUUAUGAAUUAACUGAAAUAAAAACACAAAAUGCAGGCAGAACUCAU